CCUACGGGCGGCAGCAGUGAGGAAUAUUGGUCAAUGGACGCAAGUCUGAACCAGCCAUGCCGCGUGCAGGAUGACGGCUCUAUGAGUUGUAAACUGCUUUUGUACGAGGGUAAACCCCGAUACGUGUAUCGGGUUGAAAGUACCGUACGAUUAAGGACCGGCUAACUCCGUGCCAGCAGCCGCGGUAAUACGGAGGAUCCGAGCGUUAUCCGGUUUUAGUGGGUUAAAAGGGUGCGUAGGCGGAUUGUUAAGUCAGCGGUAAAAUGUCCGGGCUCACCCCGGACCGGCCGUUGAAACUGGGGAUCUGGAGUGGGCGAGAAGUAGGCGGAAUGCGUGGUGUAGCGGUGAAAUGCAUAGAUAUCACGCAGAACUCCGAUUGCGAAGGCAGCAUACCGGGGCGCGACUGACGCUGAGGCACGAAAGCGUGGGGAUCGAACAGGAUUAGAUACCCCAGUAGUC
Molecule: ribosomal RNA, 459 nt
Filed under: uncultured bacterium
Lineage: Bacteria
Description: partial 16S ribosomal RNA
Rfam family: Bacterial small subunit ribosomal RNA
Source: RNAcentral